CUGUGUAGUAUGUAAUGACAUAUUUUAUGUUUUUUUAGUUGCUCUGUGAAGUGUGUAAUGACAUAUUUUAUGUUUUUUUGAGUUACCCUGUGUAGUGUGUAAUGACAUAUUUUAUGUUUUUUUGAGCUGCUCUGUGUAGUGUGUAAUGACAUAUUUUAUGUUUUUUUCAGCUCCUCUGAGCAGUGUGUAAUGACAUAUUUUAUGGUUUUUUUAGCUGCUCUGUGUAGUGUAAUGACAUAUUUUAUGUUUUUUUGAGUUGCCCUGUGUAGUGUGUAAUGACAUAUUUUAUGUUGUUUUGAGGUGCUCUGUGUAGUGUGUAAUGACAUAUGUUAUGUUGUUUUGAGGUGCUGUGUAGUGUGUAAUGACAUAUUUUAUGUUUUUUUGAGUUGCUCUGUGUAGUGUGUAAUGACAUAUUUUUAUGUUUUUUUGAGUUGCUCUGUGUAGUGUGUAAUGACAUAUUUUAUGUUUUUUUGAGCUGCUCUGUGUAGUGUGUAAUGACAUAUUUUAUGGUUUUUUUAGGUGCUCUGUGUAGUGUGUAAUGACAUAUUUUAUGUUUUUUUUUAGUUGCUCUGUGUAGUGUGUAAUGACAUAUUUUAUGUUUUUUUGAGCUGCUCUGUGUAGUGUGUAAUGACAUAUUUUAUGUUUUUUUGAGUUGCUCUGUGUAGUGUGUAAUGACAUAUUUUAUGUUUUUGUUAGCUGCUCUGUGUAGUGUGUAAUGACAUAUUUUAUGUUUUUUUAGUUUCUCUGUGUAGUGUGUAAUGACAUAUUUUAUGUUUUUUUUUGCUCUGUGUAGUGUGUAAUGACAUAUUUUAUGUUUUUUUUGAGCUGCUCUGUGUAGUGUGUAAUGACAUAUUUUAUGUUUUUUUUAGCUGCUCUGUGUAGUGUGUAAUGACAUAUUUUAUGUUUUUUUGAGUUGCUCUGUGUAGUGUGUAAUGACAUAUUUUAUGUUUUUUUGAGCUGCUGUGUUUUAGAGAUUGUUGUUUGACAUAUUUAUGUUUUUUUUAGCUGCUCUGUUGUGUGUUUAUUCAUUACGUUUUUUGAUUGAGUUAAGUCUGCCAAUUGAUAUUUAUCGUAUGUUUUUUCUUUGUUGUGAUGUUAUGCUAUUGUUUCAGAAAAAGGGAGAAGGUUUGGAUCCAUUAAAACGUUUAAUCCCGCUGCGAAUGUUUGCACCUGUCCUAAGUCAGGAAUCUGAUGUACAGUAGUUGUCGUUUGUUUAAGUAAUAUAUACGUGUUUCUCGUUUCUCGUUUUGUUUAUAUAGAUUAGACCGUUGGUUUUCCCGUUGAAUGGUUUUACACUAGUAAUUUUGGGGGCCCUUUAUAGCUUGUUGUUCGGUGUGAGCCAAGCUCCGUGUUGAAGGCCGUACUUUAACCUAUAAUGGUUUACUUUUUAAAUUGUUAUUUGUAUGGAGAGUUGUUUCAUUGGCACUCACACCACAUCUUCCUAUAUCUAAUGACAUAUUUUAUGUUUUUUUUAGUUGCUCUGUGUAGUGUGUUAUGACAUAUUUUAUGUUUUUUGGUUGCUCUGUGUAGUGUGUAAUGAAUUUAUGUUUUUUGAGUUGCUCGUGUAGUGUGUAAUGACAUAUUUUGUUUUUUUGAGUUGCUCUGUGUAGUGUGUAAUGACAUAUUUUAUUGUGUUUUAUUUUUUUUGAGUUGCUCUGUGUAGUGUGUAAUGACAUAUUUUGUUUUUUUGAGUUGCUCUGUGUAGUGUGUAAUGACAUAUUUUAUGGGUUUUUUUUAGUUUCUCUGUGUAGUGUGUAAUGACAUAUUUUAUGUUUUAUUGUGUUGCUUUGUGUAGUGUGUAAUGACAUAUUUUAUGUUUUUUUGAGCUGCUCUGUGUAGUGUGUAAUGACAUAAUUUGUUUUUUUGAGCUGCUCUGUGUAGUGUGUAAUGACAUAGUUUAUAUUUUUUUGAGUUGCUCUGUGUAGUGUGUAAUGACAUAUUUUAUGUUUUUUGAGUUGCUCUGUGUAGUGUGUAAUGACAUAUUUUAUGUUUUUUUAGUUGCUCUGUGUAGUGUGUAAUGACAUAUUUUAUGUUUUUUUAGUUGCUCUGUGUAGUGUGUAAUGACAUAUUUAUGUUUUUUUUAGUUGCUCUGUGUAGUGUGUAAUGACAUAUUUUAUGUUUUUUUUGAGUUGCUCUGUGUAGUGUGUAAUGACAUAUUUUAUGUUUUUUUGUAUUGCUUUGUGUAGUGUGUAAUGACAUAUUUUAUGUUUUUUUGUGUUGCUUUGUGUAAUGUGUAAUGACAUAUUUUAUGUUUUUUUAGCUGCUCUGUGUAGUGUGUAAUGACACAUUUUAUGUUUUUUCAGUUGCUCUGUGUAGUGUGUAAUGACAUAUUUUGUUUUUUUGAGUUGCUCUGUGUAGUGUGUAAUGACAUAUUUUAUGUUUUUUUUAGCUGCUCUGUGUAGUGUGUAAUUACAUAUUUUAUGUUUUUUUGUGUUGCUCUGUGUAGUGUGUAAUGACAUCUUUUAUGUUUUUUUGAGCUGCUCUGUGUAGCGUGUAAUGACAUAUUUUAUGGUUUUUUGAGCUGCUCUGUGUAGUGCGUAAUGACAUAUUUUAUGUUUUUUUAGCUGCUCUGUGUAGUGUGUAAUGACAUAAUUUAUGUUUUUUUGAGCUGCUCUGUGUAGUGUGUAAUGACAUAUUUUAAGUUUUUUUUAGUUGCUCUGUGUAGUGUGUAAUGACAUAUUUUAUGGGUUUUUUUCAGCUGCUCUGUGUAGUGUGUAAUGACAUAUUUUAUGUUUUUUUUAGUUGCUCUGUGUAGUGUGUAAUGACAUAUUUUAUGUUUUUUUUAGUUGCUCUGUGUAGUGUGUAAUGACAUAUUUUAUGUUUUUUUCAGUUGCUCUGUGUAGUGUGUGUAUUGACAUAUUUUAUGUUUUUUUUAGCUGCUCUGUGUAGUGUGUAAUGACAUAUUUUAUGUUUUUUUUUAAGUUGCUCUGUGUAGUGUGUAAUGACAUAUUUUAUGUUUUUUUGAGUUGCUCUGUGUAGUGUGUAAUGACAUAUUUUAUGUUUUUUUAGUUGCUCUGUGUAGUGUGUAAUGACAUAUUUUAUGUUUUUUAGUUGCUCUGUGUAGUGUGUAAUGACCUAUUUUAUGUUUUUUUUAGUUGCUCUGUGUAGUGUGUAAUGUAAUGACAUAUUUUAUGUUUUUUUUAGUUGCUCUGUGUAGUGUGUAAUGACAUAUUUUAUGUUUUUUUGAGUUGCUCUGUGUAGUGUGUAAUGACAUAUUUUAUGUUUUUUGAGUUGCUCUGUGUAGUGUGUAAUGACAUUUUAUGUUUUUUUGAGUUGCUCUGUGUAGUGUGUAAUGACAUAUUUUAUGUUUUUUUUAGUUGCUUUGUGUAGUGUGUAAUGACAUUUUAUGUUUUUUUGAGUUGCUCUGUGUAGUGUGUAAUGACAUAUUUUAUGUUUUUUUUAGCUGCUCUGUGUAGUGUGUAAUGACAUAUUUUAUGUUUUUUUAGCUGCUCUGUGUAGUGUGUAAUGACAUAUUUU
RNAcentral lists this long non-coding RNA (3477 nucleotides) under Mytilus galloprovincialis (Mediterranean mussel). The record is from RNAcentral. Lineage: Eukaryota; Metazoa; Mollusca; Bivalvia; Mytilida; Mytilidae.